Molecule: ribosomal RNA, 162 nt
Filed under: Helotiales sp.
Lineage: Eukaryota; Fungi; Ascomycota; Leotiomycetes; Helotiales
Description: partial large subunit ribosomal RNA
Rfam family: Eukaryotic large subunit ribosomal RNA
Source: RNAcentral
CGGCAAUAGCUCAAAUUUGAAAUCUGGCUUCUCUUGGAGUCCGAGUUGUAAUUUGUAGAGGAUGCUUUGGUGCGGCCUUGGUCUAAGUUCUUUGGAACAGGACAUCACAGAGGGUGAGAAUCCCGUAUGUGGCUAAAGGCUUCAACCGUCAAAAGCUCCUUC